RNAcentral lists this ribosomal RNA (380 nucleotides) under uncultured cyanobacterium. RNAcentral describes it as "bacterial SSU rRNA". It matches the Rfam family "Bacterial small subunit ribosomal RNA", at positions 376 to 770 of the family's 1533-position model. The record is from RNAcentral. Lineage: Bacteria; Bacillati; Cyanobacteriota.
UGCAAGCCUGACGGAGCAAGACCGCGUGGGGGAGGAAAGCCUUUGGGUUGUAAACCCCUUUUCUCAGGGAAGAAGAAAGUGACGGUACCUGAGGAAUCAGCCUCGGCUAACUCCGUGCCAGCAGCCGCGGCAAUACGGAGGAGGCAAGCGUUAUCCGGAAUAAUUGGGCGUAAAGCGUUCGUAGGUGGUUCUGUAAGUCUGCUGUUAAAGCGUGUAGCUCAACUACAUAUAGGCAGUGGAAACUACAAAACUUGAGUGCGUUCGGGGUAGAGGGAAUUCCUGGUGUAGCGGUGAAAUGCGUAGAGAUCAGGAAGAACACCGGUGGCGAAGGCGCUCUACUAGACCGCAACUGACACUGAGGGACGAAAGCUAGGGGAGCG